Molecule: ribosomal RNA, 504 nt
Filed under: uncultured bacterium
Lineage: Bacteria
Description: bacterial SSU rRNA
Rfam family: Bacterial small subunit ribosomal RNA
Source: RNAcentral
GAUUAUGGCUCAGGAUGAACGCUGGCGGCGUGCUUAACACAUGCAAGUCGAACGAAGCAACUUAUCACGAUCCCUUCGGGGUGACGAUUGUUGACUGAGUGGCGGACGGGUGAGUAACGCGUGGGUAACCUGCCUUGUACAGGGGGACAACAGUUGGAAACGACUGCUAAUACCGCAUAAGCGCACAGCUUCGCAUGAAGCAGUGUGAAAAGUAUUUUCGGUACAAGAUGGACCCGCGUCUGAUUAGCUAGUUGGUGAGGUAACGGCCCACCAAGGCGACGAUCAGUAGCCGACCUGAGAGGGUGACCGGCCACAUUGGGACUGAGACACGGCCCAAACUCCUACGGGAGGCAGCAGUGGGGAAUAUUGCACAAUGGGCGAAAGCCUGAUGCAGCGAACGCCGCGUGAGCGAAGAAGUAUUUCGGUAUGUAAAGCUCUAUCAGCAGGGAAGAUAAUGACGGUACCUGACUAAGAAGCACCGGCUAAAUACGUGCCAGCCGCAGC